UUAAAGGGCGAAAGAAUGAUCAAUUUUGAUGACAUUAGCCAUGAGCUGUAACAGUGUUCCCAACUUGAACAUCAUCUUCUGAGUACAUAUCUGAGGCAGAGCCAGCUUGCACGUCCUGUGUUGUGGACAUCCGUGUUAGAGCCAGCUUGCAUGUCCUGUGUUGUGGACAUCCGUGUUAGUGCUAGCUUGCACAUCAUCUGUUGUGAACAUCCGUGUAAGAGCCAGCUUGCACAUCUUCUGUUGUGGACAUCCGUGUUAGUGCUAGCUUGCACGUCAUCUGUUGUGAACAUCCGUGUAAGAGCCAGCUUGCACGUCAUCUCUUUUGGGCAUCAGUAUUAGAGCCAGCUUGCACAUCUUCUGUUGUGGACAUCCGUGUUAGUGCUAACUUGCACGUAAUCUGUUGUGGACAUCUGUGUUAGAUCCAGCUUGCAUGUCAUACGUUAAGGACAUCAGUCAGAGAUAGCUUGCAUGUUAUUUACUUGUGGACAUUAGAAUCAGAGCCAGCAAGGACAAUCUCUGUUGUGGAUAUCUGUCUUAGAGCCAGCUUGCACUUCAUCGGUUGUUCACAUCCUUCUAAUAACCAGCUUGACCAUCAUCUGAUGUGGAAAUCUGAGUCAGAGACAGCUUGCACAUCAUCCGUUGUGAACAUCUCUUUAUGAUUUUACUCUUUGCUUAGAUUGACACUGUGACUUUAGUGUAAUACGUUGCAACCUUAAGCUAUUCCUAUUGUUGAAUAAAAUAUUGUGUCAUUAAAAUAUAUUUUGUUGGAUAA
This is a long non-coding RNA of Dreissena polymorpha, 772 nucleotides long. RefSeq lists it as uncharacterized. The record is from RefSeq and is a predicted model, not a curated record. The transcript has 2 exons. Lineage: Eukaryota; Metazoa; Mollusca; Bivalvia; Myida; Dreissenidae.